This is a long non-coding RNA of Bolinopsis microptera, 416 nucleotides long. RefSeq lists it as uncharacterized. Lineage: Eukaryota; Metazoa; Ctenophora; Tentaculata; Lobata; Bolinopsidae. The transcript has 3 exons. The record is from RefSeq and is a predicted model, not a curated record.
AAACAGUCAGGGUGACAAGGUAUCUAUUAAUAAAGAGGUGCCUGUGGCGUACAUAGCAGACUGUAUUGAGUUUGUGACGAGGGUAAUAGAUUCCACACCCAAGAACACUCUGUUCGAUACAGUGAAUCACGAUCAGGUAGUGAUAAAGUUUUCGGGAGAUAAAGGAGAUGGCAGGACAAAUUUAUCGUUCUAUGUGAUGAAUCAGAUUUCUCCGAAUUCAUGCGAUAAACACUUUAUGCUUAUAAUAUAUGGAGCAGGUGACACGAACUACAACUUAAAGUCAGCCUUUGACCUUAUCAAUUUGAAGAUGGGACAAGGCCCACAACCACAUCACCUUUCAGUUAGAAGAAGCAACCACCUGCACCCAGCACUGCACCUCGCGAGGUUGAUAAGUUAGUGGAACUCGGAGACAGUCU